GGCCGUGUGGCGAAAUGGCAUCGCGUCUGACUACGAGUUGCAGAGAACUUGAUAUCAGGAGAUUGCAGGUUCGACCCCUGUCUCGGUCA
This is a non-coding RNA of Lyophyllum atratum, 89 nucleotides long. The record is from the annotation of a GenBank genome assembly. Lineage: Eukaryota; Fungi; Basidiomycota; Agaricomycetes; Agaricales; Lyophyllaceae.